This 598-nucleotide ribosomal RNA is filed under the name uncultured bacterium. Its description in RNAcentral is "bacterial SSU rRNA". It matches the Rfam family "Bacterial small subunit ribosomal RNA", at positions 331 to 929 of the family's 1533-position model. The record is from RNAcentral.
CCAGACUCCUACGGGAGGCAGCGGUGAGGAAUAUUGGACAAUGGUCGGAAGACUGAUCCAGCCAUGCCGCGUGCAGGAUGAAGGUCUUAUGGAUUGUAAACUGCUUUUGUAAGGGAAGAAUAAGGGCUACGCGUAGUUUGAUGACGGUACCUUACGAAUAAGCAUCGGCUAACUCCGUGCCAGCAGCCGCGGUAAUACGGAGGAUGCGAGCGUUAUCCGGAAUCAUUGGGUUUAAAGGGUCUGUAGGCGGGCUGGUAAGUCAGAGGUGAAAGCGCUUAGCUCAACUAAGCAACUGCCUUUGAAACUGUUGGUCUUGAAUGGUUGUGAAGUAGUUGGAAUGUGUAGUGUAGCGGUGAAAUGCUUAGAUAUUACACAGAACACCGAUAGCGAAGGCAUAUUACUAACAAUUAAUUGACGCUGAUGGACGAAAGCGUGGGGAGCGAACAGGAUUAGAUACCCUGGUAGUCCACGCUGUAAACGAUGGAUACUAGCUGUUUGGUUUAAGGAUUGAGUGGCUAAGCGAAAGUGAUAAGUAUCCCACCUGGGGAGUACGUUCGCAAGAAUGAAACUCAAAGGAAUUGACGGGGGCCCGCACAAG